AUUCCAGCUCCAAUAGCGUAUAUUAAUGUUGUUGCAGUUAAAAAGCUCGUAGUUGAAUUUCUGGUUAAAAUCUUAGCUGGCUUUGGUCGUUAAUGUUUUAAUCAUCCGUUAGAGAACUAUAACCGUCCUUAACUGGUCAUUAUAGAGAUCUAACAUUAUACUUUGAAAAAAUCAGAGUGUUUCAAGCAGGCAGUCGCUCUUGCAUGGAUUAGCAUGGGAUAAUGAAAUAGGACUCUGGUGCUAUUUUGUUGGUUUCGAACACCGGAGUAAUGAUUAACAGGGACAGUCAGGGGCACUCGUAUUCCGCCGAGAGAGGUGAAAUUCUCAGACCAGCGGAAGACGAACCACUGCGAAAGCAUUUGCCAGGGAUGUUUUCAUUG
This 380-nucleotide ribosomal RNA is filed under the name Prymnesiophyceae sp. RNAcentral's name for it is "partial small subunit ribosomal RNA". It matches the Rfam family "Eukaryotic small subunit ribosomal RNA", at positions 582 to 975 of the family's 1831-position model. The record is from RNAcentral. Lineage: Eukaryota; Haptophyta.